RNAcentral lists this ribosomal RNA (253 nucleotides) under uncultured bacterium. RNAcentral's name for it is "partial 16S ribosomal RNA". It matches the Rfam family "Bacterial small subunit ribosomal RNA", at positions 524 to 776 of the family's 1533-position model. The record is from RNAcentral.
UACGAAGGGGGCUAGCGUUGCUCGGAAUCACUGGGCGUAAAGGGUGUGUAGGUGGCGCCGUAAGUCGGGUGUGAAAUUUCGGAGCUUAACUCCGAAACUGCAUUCGAUACUGCGGUGCUUGAGGACUGGAGAGGAGACUGGAAUUUACGGUGUAGCGGUGAAAUGCGUAGAUAUCGGAAGGAACACCGGUGGCGAAAGCGGCGCGCUGGACCUCUUCUGACGCUGAGGCGCGAAAGCCAGGGGAGCAAACGGG